RNAcentral lists this ribosomal RNA (832 nucleotides) under Chlorophyllum agaricoides. RNAcentral's name for it is "eukaryotic LSU rRNA". It matches the Rfam family "Eukaryotic large subunit ribosomal RNA", at positions 87 to 906 of the family's 3401-position model. The record is from RNAcentral. Lineage: Eukaryota; Fungi; Basidiomycota; Agaricomycetes; Agaricales; Agaricaceae.
CUGCGAGUGAAGCGGGAAAAGCUCAAAUUUAAAAUCUGGCGGUCUCUGGCCGUCCGAGUUGUAAUCUAGAGAAGUAAUGCCCGCGCUGGACCGUGUACAAGUCUCCUGGGAUGGAGCGUCAUAGAGGGUGAGAAUCCCGUCUCUGACACGGACUACCAGGGCUUUGUGGUAUGCUCUCAAAGAGUCGAGUUGUUUGGGAAUGCAGCUCAAAAUGGGUGGUAAAUUCCAUCUAAAGCUAAAUAUUGGCGAGAGACCGAUAGCGAACAAGUACCGUGAGGGAAAGAUGAAAAGAACUUUGGAAAGAGAGUUAAACAGUACGUGAAAUUGCUGAAAGGGAAACGCUUGAAGUCAGUCGCGUUGGCCAGGGAUCAGCCUCACUCUUGUGUGGUGUACUUUCUGGUUGACGGGUCAGCAUCAAUUUUGACCGCUGGAAAAAGGCCUGGGGAAUGUGGCAGCUUCGGCUGUGUUAUAGCCCCUAGUCACAUAUAGCGGUUGGGAUUGAGGAACUCAGCACGCCGCAAGGCCGGGUUUCGACCACGUUCGUGCUUAGGAUGCUGGCAUAAUGGCUUUAAGCGACCCGUCUUGAAACACGGACCAAGGAGUCUAACAUGCCUGCGAGUAUUUGGGUGGAAAACCCGAGUGCGUAAUGAAAGUGAAAGUUGAGAUCCCUGUCGUGGGGAGCAUCGACGCCCGGACCAGAACUUUUGGGACGGAUCCGCGGUAGAGCAUGUAUGUUGGGACCCGAAAGAUGGUGAACUAUGCCUGAAUAGGGUGAAGCCAGAGGAAACUCUGGUGGAGGCUCGUAGCGAUUCUGACGUGCAAAUCGAUCGUC